UAAAUGAUAAAUAAAUAAUUAUCAGAGAGCUUGAUUUUAUUCAGUGGUUUCAUCUACAGCAAGUGCUCGGUUACGGCUCUCAGGGAGAAGUGUUAUUACAAGGAGUCUCGGUUUUAGGUCCGAGUUUUCCAGUUUCACUUCCUCCCUCUCUGGUUCACACCAAUACACUUAACAUAUACAUGUCUUCAUCUAACGUUUACAGAACGCAUACAAUAACAUAUAUUCGAAUACACACUAAUACUUAUAACUUUUAUAUGUAGGUUUACUGUAUACUAACUAGGUACCCACACACAGACAUAUGUGAGGGCUGUCAUGCUAUCCUAUAUUAUUCUUAUACUUUAGAUUCUUAUAUUUGUUAGUUACAAUAGUUAUUACUUUUGGUGUUUAACUAAUUAUUUCUACCCUUAUUAUUUAUUAUAAUAUUAUUCUUAUGUUGCGGCUGUGGUCCGACUUGUGCCUUUUGUAUCGCAUUUGCCCUGUUCCUCACCUUUCUUUAGGCUCUAAAGACAGUGACAUGGGGAAACCACAGG
Molecule: long non-coding RNA, 530 nt
Organism: Cotesia glomerata
Lineage: Eukaryota; Metazoa; Arthropoda; Insecta; Hymenoptera; Braconidae
Exons: 2
Source: RefSeq, a predicted model, not a curated record